GAUGAACGCUGGCGGCGUGCCUAAUACAUGCAAGUCGAGCGAACAGACGAGGAGCUUGCUCCUCUGACGUUAGCGGCGGACGGGUGAGUAACACGUGGAUAACCUACCUAUAAGACUGGGAUAACUUCGGGAAACCGGAGCUAAUACCGGAUAAUAUAUUGAACCGCAUGGUUCAAUAGUGAAAGACGGUUUUGCUGUCACUUAUAGAUGGAUCCGCGCCGCAUUAGCUAGUUGGUAAGGUAACGGCUUACCAAGGCAACGAUGCGUAGCCGACCUGAGAGGGUGAUCGGCCACACUGGAACUGAGACACGGUCCAGACUCCUACGGGAGGCAGCAGUAGGGAAUCUUCCGCAAUGGGCGAAAGCCUGACGGAGCAACGCCGCGUGAGUGAUGAAGGUCUUCGGAUCGUAAAACUCUGGUAUUAGGGAAGAACAAAUGUGUAAGUAACUAUGCACGUCUUGACGGUACCUAAUCAGAAAGCCACGGCUAACUACGU
This 496-nucleotide ribosomal RNA is filed under the name uncultured bacterium. Its description in RNAcentral is "partial 16S ribosomal RNA". It matches the Rfam family "Bacterial small subunit ribosomal RNA", at positions 28 to 506 of the family's 1533-position model. The record is from RNAcentral.